GUAGGUGGCAAGCGUUGUCCGGAAUUAUUGGGCGUAAAGCGCGCGCAGGCGGUCCUUUAAGUCUGAUGUGAAAGCCCACGGCUCAACCGUGGAGGGUCAUUGGAAACUGGGGGACUUGAGUACAGAAGAGGAAAGCGGAAUUCCAAGUGUAGCGGUGAAAUGCGUAGAGAUUUGGAGGAACACCAGUGGCGAAGGCGGCUUUCUGGUCUGUAACUGACGCUGAGGCGCGAAAGCGUGGGGAGCAAACAGGGAUUAGAUACCCUGGUAGUCCACGCCGUAAACGAAGAGUGCUAAGUGUUAGGGGGUUUCCCGCCCCCCUUAGUGCUGCAGCUAACGCAUUAAGCACUCCGCCUGGGGGAGUACGGCCGCAAGGCUG
RNAcentral lists this ribosomal RNA (376 nucleotides) under uncultured organism. Its description in RNAcentral is "partial 16S ribosomal RNA". It matches the Rfam family "Bacterial small subunit ribosomal RNA", at positions 527 to 896 of the family's 1533-position model. The record is from RNAcentral.